RNAcentral lists this ribosomal RNA (89 nucleotides) under Streptococcus infantis X. Lineage: Bacteria; Bacillati; Bacillota; Bacilli; Lactobacillales; Streptococcaceae. The record is from RNAcentral.
AUAGCCUAGGAGAUACACCUGUACCCAUGCCGAACACAGAAGUUAAGCCCUAGAACGCCGGAAGUAGUUGGGGGUUGCCCCCUGUGAGA